This 497-nucleotide ribosomal RNA is filed under the name uncultured bacterium. Its description in RNAcentral is "partial 16S ribosomal RNA". It matches the Rfam family "Bacterial small subunit ribosomal RNA", at positions 28 to 507 of the family's 1533-position model. The record is from RNAcentral.
GAUGAACGCUGGCGGCGUACCUAAUACAUACAAGUCGAGCGAACGGACGAGAAGCUUGCUUCUCUGAUGUUAGCGGCGGACGGGUGAGUAACACGUGGAUAACCUACCUAUAAGACUGGGAUAACUUCGGGAAACCGGAGCUAAUACCGGAUAAUAUUUUGAACCGCAUGGUUCAAAAGUGAAAGACGGUCUUGCUGUCACUUAUAGAUGGAUCCGCGCUGCAUUAGCUAGUUGGUAAGGUAACGGCUUACCAAGGCAACGAUGCAUAGCCGACCUGAGAGGGUGAUCGGCCACACUGGAACUGAGACACGGUCCAGACUCCUACGGGAGGCAGCAGUAGGGAAUCUUCCGCAAUGGGCGAAAGCCUGACGGAGCAACGCCGCGUGAGUGAUGAAGGUCUUCGGAUCGUAAAACUCUGUUAUUAGGGAAGAACAUAUGUGUAAGUAACUGUGCACAUCUUGACGGUACCUAAUCAGAAAGCCACGGCUAACUACGUG